Molecule: long non-coding RNA, 578 nt
Organism: Pogoniulus pusillus (Red-fronted tinkerbird)
Lineage: Eukaryota; Metazoa; Chordata; Aves; Piciformes; Lybiidae
Exons: 2
Source: RefSeq, a predicted model, not a curated record
GUCCCAUUCUGGAACAUCUUCUGCAGUCGCAGCUGUGCCCAAGCUCACUCCUCUGCCAGGCUCCUUCAGGAGCCAGCCUGCUGCCAGAGCUCCAGCAGAAGUGAUGCCCCUGGCAGAUGGCAUCCACCCAGCAGCACCAGGACAGGAGCUCCACCUCACGUGGACCAAGAGCAAUGGGUUCAAAUCUAAGCACUGCCCAUGUCCUGCCCACGGUCCUUCAAGCCUGCCAACAGAUGCCCAGCACUACAGCCUCAUGUUGUGCCCCCCAGGAUCAAGCCACCAGCCCCACAGCUCCAGCCUGGAUGACCAAACCCACACACCCCACGAUGCCCUCAGCUCUGCAUCCUGCAGCAAGAUGGUGAAAGCAGCUCUGUGACUUGGUGCCAGCAGCUUAAGCCUUGUCUGACUGGGUCUGAGCUGCUCUGCCCAGCCUCAUCCAGCCCACAGGUCCCAGUUUGCUCCAGAACCCAGCAGGAGCUGGGGUAAGGCAGAGUGGCUGCAGAAAAAGUUGCUUUUGAAGUGCUAAGACUGCACUAUCAGAGCCAAGCUCCUGAAGGCAUCAGCAGAAAACUUGCUUG